Molecule: long non-coding RNA, 352 nt
Organism: Pseudoliparis swirei
Lineage: Eukaryota; Metazoa; Chordata; Actinopteri; Perciformes; Liparidae
Exons: 2
Source: RefSeq, a predicted model, not a curated record
CCGCCUUGUGGAGGCCGGAGACCGGGGGCGGGGCCGGGCCCUGGGGCGGCGGGUGGGACCGGCGCUGAAUGGCGUCCUCGAAGGGCUCUGGGGUCGUCGAGGGCAGAGGAAGGGAUUAACAGAGGAAGGUUUCACUCGACAUCCUUCGGCUGUCUAUGAACGGCGCUAAUCCAGGAGGUGGCGGUAACACACGAGAAAAAGGCAGAGAAGAAGUCGACCGGUCGUCACUAAAUAUGGAUAUAUGAACAUAAAGGAUUUCAUUUUCCGCUCCAACAUUGUUUUUUAAGGAACUGCAUCCCAUUAAAUAAACCUUCUACUUCUCUACCAGAUGGAAUAAAGAGAGUAAAACCCC